ACAGCAGCAGCCACGGGAAUACGAAGGGGGCUAGCGUUGUUCGGAAUUACUGGGCGUAAAGCGCACGUAGGCGGACAUUUAAGUCAGGGGUGAAAUCCCGGGGCUCAACCCCGGAACUGCCUUUGAUACUGGGUGUCUAGAGUAUGGAAGAGGUGAGUGGAAUUCCGAGUGUAGAGGUGAAAUUCGUAGAUAUUCGGAGGAACACCAGUGGCGAAGGCGGCUCACUGGUCCAUUACUGACGCUGAGGUGCGAAAGCGUGGGGAGCAAACAGGAUUAGAUACCCCGGUAGUCCCUGUCUCUUAUAC
RNAcentral lists this ribosomal RNA (305 nucleotides) under uncultured bacterium. RNAcentral's name for it is "partial 16S ribosomal RNA". It matches the Rfam family "Bacterial small subunit ribosomal RNA", at positions 506 to 807 of the family's 1533-position model. The record is from RNAcentral.